This 253-nucleotide ribosomal RNA is filed under the name uncultured bacterium. RNAcentral describes it as "partial 16S ribosomal RNA". It matches the Rfam family "Bacterial small subunit ribosomal RNA", at positions 524 to 776 of the family's 1533-position model. The record is from RNAcentral.
UACGUAGGAGGCGAGCGUUGUCCGGAGUUACUGGGCGUAAAGCGCACGCAGGCGGUCUUGUUAGUCUCAGGUGACAGUCCUCGGCUUAACUGAGGAAGUGUCUGGGAAACUGCAAGACUUGAGGGCUUCAGAGGGACAUGGAAUUCCGGGUGGAGUGGUGAAAUGCGUAGAGAUCCGGAGGAACACCGAAGGCGAAGGCAGUGUCCUGGCGAGUGACUGACGCUGAGGUGCGAAAGCCAGGGGAGCGAACGGG